GUGUGUGGACGGAAUUCGGGACCGACUUACGGCCGGCCGGCUUCCCGGAACUGGAAGCUCCUGGUACAGUUUGUUCAGAAUACGUCCAUCCCAUUGGGACAGGGGCUUGUAGAAUCAGAAGCUAAAGAUAUUACUUGCUUGUCCCUCCUUCCCGUGACUGAAGCCUCAGAAUGCAGUCGGCUAAUGUUACCAGGAGGUCCCUUCCUCAGCUGUUUUGAGAAGCCUUCGGGUGAAUGUGGGUCCAGACGGAGAGGAGACGAGAGCUCAGACUGUACAGAAAUCCCCGGAGUUUUUGUCCACUUCAGAGUCUUCUAGCUUGUUGCAAGAUCUACAGCCAAGUGAUAGCACUUCUUUUAUUCUUCUUAACCUAACAAGAGCAGGUCUGGGCUCUUCAGCUGAGCACUUAGUGUUUGUACAGGAUGAGGCAGAAGAUUCAGGGAAUGAUUUCCUCUCCAGUGAGAGCACAGACAGUAGCAUUCCAUGGUUCCUCCGGGUUCAGGAGUUGGCCCAUGACAGUUUGAUUGCGGCUACUCGUGCACAACUGGCAAAGAAUGCAAAAACCAGCAGCAAUGGAGAAAAUGUCCACCUUGGUUCUGGUGAUGGGCAGUCAAAAGAUUCUGGGCCCCUUCCUCAAGUGGAAAAGAAGCUCAAGUGUACAGUUGAAGGUUGUGACCGGACAUUUGUAUGGCCAGCUCACUUUAAAUACCACCUCAAGACUCAUCGAAAUGACCGCUCCUUCAUCUGUCCUGCAGAAGGUUGUGGGAAAAGCUUCUAUGUGCUGCAGAGGCUGAAGGUGCACAUGAGGACCCACAAUGGAGAGAAGCCCUUUAUGUGCCAUGAGUCUGGCUGUGGUAAGCAGUUUACUACA
RNAcentral lists this small RNA (868 nucleotides) under Pan troglodytes (chimpanzee). Its description in RNAcentral is "processed transcript". Lineage: Eukaryota; Metazoa; Chordata; Mammalia; Primates; Hominidae. The record is from RNAcentral.